GACGAACGCUGGCGGCGCGCUUAACACAUGCAAGUCGAGCGAAGCGGCGGACGGUUGAGUAACACGUGAGUAACCUGCCUUAGACAUUGGGAUAGCCUCGGGAAACCGGGAUUAAUACCAAAUGGUCUAAGAUGGACUCGCGUCCCAUUAGGUCGUUGGUGAGGUAACGGCCCACCAAGGCGACGAUGGGUAGCCGGGCUGGGAGGGGGAACGGGCACAUUGGAAGUGAUAAACGGUCCAAACUCUACGGGAGGCAGCAGUGGGGAAUAUUGCACAAUGGAGGGAACUCUGAUGCAGCGAGGCCGCGUGAACGAAGAAGGCUUUCGAGUCGUAAAGUACUUUUAUAUGGGAAGCGGUACCAUAAGAAAAAGCCCCGGCUAACUACGUGCCAGCAGCCGCGGUAAUAC
RNAcentral lists this ribosomal RNA (407 nucleotides) under uncultured bacterium. Its description in RNAcentral is "partial 16S ribosomal RNA". It matches the Rfam family "Bacterial small subunit ribosomal RNA", at positions 28 to 526 of the family's 1533-position model. The record is from RNAcentral.